AUUGAACGCUGGCGGCAGGCCUAACACAUGCAAGUCGAACGAGUGGCGGACGGGUGAGUAAUGUCUGGGAAACUGCCUGAUGGAGGGGGAUAACUGCUGGAACCGUUAGCUAAUACCGCAUACCAUCAGAUGUGCCCAGAUGGGAGUAGCUAGUGGGUGGGGUAAUGGCUCACCUAGGCGACGAUCCCUAGCUGGCCUGAGAGGAUGACCAGCCACACUGGAACUGAGACACGGUCCAGACUCCUACGGGAGGCAGCAGUGGGGAAUAUUGGACAAUGGGCGCAAGCCUGAUGCAGCCAUGCCGCGUGUGUGAAGAAGGCCUUCGGGUUGUAAAGCACUUUCAGCGGGGAAGCGUUACUCACAGAAGAAGCACCGGCUAACUCCGUGCCAGCAGCCGCGGUAAUAC
Molecule: ribosomal RNA, 406 nt
Filed under: uncultured bacterium
Lineage: Bacteria
Description: partial 16S ribosomal RNA
Rfam family: Bacterial small subunit ribosomal RNA
Source: RNAcentral